AUGCUAGUCAUGGACUGAAGUCUUCUGUUUAUUUACAGAACAGAGACAAUAUGGGCAGUAGCAAUGGAAGUUCCUACACUCCCCUGCCAAUGUGUGUCAGCACGUGGGUAUGUGCUAUUAAGUGCAUUGCUUUCCACAAUCAGAGUCCAUA
Molecule: small RNA, 151 nt
Filed under: Chelonoidis abingdonii (Abingdon island giant tortoise)
Lineage: Eukaryota; Metazoa; Chordata; Testudines; Testudinidae
Description: TUC338 (ENSCABG00000015260.1)
Source: RNAcentral